AAAUUAAUAAUUUUUAAGACCGGUAUGGGAUACUUUUUAGUUUAGCAGUGUAAAAGAAUUGGAAUCGGUUGAAUCUUUGAUAGAAAAUUCUAUUCACUACCUAGAUAAAGAUCAAUAACUCCGAUCUUAAAUUGAAGGAUCCGAUCAUCUAUGUUUAGGACGUCAUUCAAUUUUGACCAUUCAUUUUAUGCCCGCUUGAUAGACUUUAUUAUGAUUUCGAAAAAUUAUGAAAUUUAUUUUUUAGAAGUUUCAAAUACUCCAGAUGAUAUAUAUAUAUAUAAAGAGAGAGAGAGAGAGAGAGAGAGAGAGUGAGUCCGGCUGGGGUACUAUCGAUAGCACCAAGCGCUUGGUACUACCAAAUUUUCUGCCGUUAGAUUUAACUAUUUGACUAUUUUUAUCCGUUAGAUUAUACUAUUCAACCAAUAACUCACUCAACCCUAGGGGACCCGUAUUAUCAUAACCGUACGUUUUUUCAUCCAAGGGUCGAAAACCAAAUAGCACCAAUAGCUUGAUGCUAUUGAUAGUAUUCCAGCCUAGUUUUAUAUAUAUAGAAUUGAGCUAGAAUACUUUUAGAAGCACGAACCCCUUUGUGCUUCUAAGUUUCUAGCCCAUGGAUCUACUUCUUGAUUACUAAUAGCCUUUAGAUCAAACACUAUUCCACCUACCACCACCUACCACCAUCAUCUCAACCUCACAUCUCUCCAUCCAAUUGCUAAAAACUCAAAAGCACCACCUUCAUGGUGCUUUUGAGAGUAUUCUAGCUCAACUAUAUAUAUAUAU
This 780-nucleotide long non-coding RNA is filed under the name Ananas comosus (pineapple). Its description in RNAcentral is "long non-coding RNA (ACOM_LNC044683)". The record is from RNAcentral. Lineage: Eukaryota; Viridiplantae; Streptophyta; Magnoliopsida; Poales; Bromeliaceae.